This 482-nucleotide ribosomal RNA is filed under the name uncultured bacterium. Its description in RNAcentral is "partial 16S ribosomal RNA". It matches the Rfam family "Bacterial small subunit ribosomal RNA", at positions 30 to 507 of the family's 1533-position model. The record is from RNAcentral.
AUUGAACGCUGGCGGCAUGCCUUACACAUGCAAAUCGAACGGUAACGGGCCUUCGGGUGCCGACGAGUGGCGAACGGGUGAGUAAUACAUCGGAACGUGCCCGAUCGUGGGGGAUAACGAGGCGAAAGCUUUGCUAAUACCGCAUACGAUCUACGGAUGAAAGCAGGGGACCGCAAGGCCUUGCGCGGACGGAGCGGCCGAUGGCAGAUUAGGUAGUUGGUGGGAUAAAAGCUUACCAAGCCGACGAUCUGUAGCUGGUCUGAGAGGAUGAUCAGCCACACUGGGACUGAGACACAGCCCAGACUCCUACGGGAGGCAGCAGUGGGGAAUUUUGGACAAUGGGCGCAAGCCUGAUCCAGCCAUGCCGCGUGCAGGAUGAAGGCCUUCGGGUUGUAAACUGAUUUUGUACGGAACGAAAAGCCUUCUUUUAAUACAGGAGGGUCAUGACGGUACCGUAAGAAUAAGCACCGGCUAACUACGUG